AUUGAACGCUGGCGGCAGGCUUAACACAUGCAAGUCGAGCGAGCGGCGGACGGGUGAGUACUGUCUGGGUAACUGGCUGAUGGAGGGGGCUAACUACUGGAAACGGUAGAUAAUACCGCAUACCAUCAGUUGUGCCCACAUGGGAUUAGCUAGUAGGUGGGGUAAUGGUUCACCUAGGCGACGAUCCCGAGCUGGUCUGAGAGGAUGACCAUCAAACGUGGAACUGAGACACGGACCAGACUCAUGCGUGAGGCAGCAGUGGGGAAGAUUGGACAAUGGGCGCAAGCCUGAUGCAGCGAGGCCGCGUGAGUGAAGAAGGCCGUCGGGUAGUAAAGCACUUUCAGCGGAGAGGCGUUAGUCACAGAGGAAGCAACGGCUAACUACGUGCCAGCGGCCGCGGUAAUUC
This 406-nucleotide ribosomal RNA is filed under the name uncultured bacterium. RNAcentral's name for it is "partial 16S ribosomal RNA". It matches the Rfam family "Bacterial small subunit ribosomal RNA", at positions 29 to 526 of the family's 1533-position model. The record is from RNAcentral.